UAUCAAGAGACUACUUUUCUCUGUCAGCACCUGAAGUAACACAGCAAUAAUGACAGAAAAGUCUGAACUGCUUGAAAUCCAAAGAGAUCUACUGAAGAGUUGAAUGUAAUGAGGGAAAGAGCUACAGCAAAUGAGAAACAUGAUUAUGUGGCAGCUGGGUUACUGGGAGAAGCCACAGCGAUGUGAUAAAAACAGCUUGUGUGAUGAGGAGAAAAACUGAUUUCCCCCUUUACACCACAUCAAAUGGGUGUUUUAAGAAUAAAGCUACAACAGUUAAGAAA
Phasianus colchicus (ring-necked pheasant) is the source of this 281-nucleotide long non-coding RNA. RefSeq lists it as uncharacterized. NCBI's taxonomy places the organism in Eukaryota, Metazoa, Chordata, Aves, Galliformes, Phasianidae. The record is from RefSeq and is a predicted model, not a curated record.